UUAUAUUUUGGUGUAUGAUGCACAAAGAAUUUUGAUUUCUUGGGUUUUAGUUUAAUUCUAAAAAAUAUAA
Molecule: transfer RNA, 70 nt
Filed under: Sclomina guangxiensis
Lineage: Eukaryota; Metazoa; Arthropoda; Insecta; Hemiptera; Reduviidae
Also listed under: 1 other name
Description: tRNA-Gln
Source: RNAcentral